This 301-nucleotide ribosomal RNA is filed under the name uncultured bacterium. RNAcentral describes it as "partial 16S ribosomal RNA". It matches the Rfam family "Bacterial small subunit ribosomal RNA", at positions 509 to 807 of the family's 1533-position model. The record is from RNAcentral.
CAGUCGCCGCGGGAAUACGUAGGUGGCAAGCGUUGUCCGGAAUUAUUGGGCGUAAAGCGCGCGCAGGUGGUUUAAUAAGUCUGAUGUGAAAGCCCACGGCUCAACCGUGGAGGGUCAUUGGAAACUGUUAAACUUGAGUGCAGGAGAGAAAAGUGGAAUUCCUAGUGUAGCGGUGAAAUGCGUAGAGAUUAGGAGGAACACCAGUGGCGAAGGCGGCUUUUUGGCCUGUAACUGACACUGAGGCGCGAAAGCGUGGGGAGCAAACAGGAUUAGAUACCCCCGUAGUCCCUGUCUCUUAUAC